AGAACUUAGCAGAGAUGCUUUGGUGCCUUCGGGAACUCUGAGACAGGUGCUGCAUGGCUGUCGUCAGCUCGUGUUGUGAAAUGUUGGGUUAAGUCCCGCAACGAGCGCAACCCUUAUCCUUUGUUGCCAGCGGCUCGGCCGGGAACUCAAAGGAGACUGCCGGUGAUAAACCGGAGGAAGGUGGGGAUGACGUCAAGUCAUCAUGGCCCUUACGGCCAGGGCUACACACGUGCUGCAAUGGCGCAUACAAAGAGAAGCGACCUCGCGAGAGCAAGCGGACCUCAUAAAGUGCGUCGUAGUCCGGAUUGGAGUCUGCAACUCGACUCCAUGAAGUCGGAAUCGCUAGUAAUCGUAGAUCAGAAUGCUACGGUGAAUACGUUCCCGGGCCUUGUACACACCGCCCGUCACACCAUGGGAGUGGGUUGCAAAAGAAGUAGGUAGCUUAACCUUCGGGAGGGCGCUUACCACUUUGUGAUUCAUGACUGGGGUGAAGUCGUAACAAGGUAGGCGUAGCGAG
This 517-nucleotide ribosomal RNA is filed under the name uncultured bacterium. RNAcentral describes it as "bacterial SSU rRNA". It matches the Rfam family "Bacterial small subunit ribosomal RNA", at positions 992 to 1509 of the family's 1533-position model. The record is from RNAcentral.